AGGAAGGUUUUUGGAUCGUAAACCCCUUUUGUCAAGGAAGAAGCUCUGACGGUACUUGACGAAUAAGCCUCGGCUAACUCCGUGCCAGCAGCCGCGGUAAUACGGAGGAGGCAAGCGUUAUCCGGAAUGAUUGGGCGUAAAGCGCCUGUAGGUGGCCAGCUAAGUCUGCUGUUAAAGAUCACAGCUCAACUGUGGGAAGGCAGUGGAAACUGGCAAGCUAGAGGUUGGUAGGGGUAAAGGGAAUUCCCGGUGUAGCGGUGAAAUGCGUAGAUAUCGGGAAGAACACCGGUGGCGAAAGCGCUUUACUGGGCCAGACCUGACACUGAAGGACGAAAGCUAGGGGAGCGAAAGGGAUUAGAUACCCCUGUAGUC
This 372-nucleotide ribosomal RNA is filed under the name uncultured cyanobacterium. RNAcentral's name for it is "bacterial SSU rRNA". It matches the Rfam family "Bacterial small subunit ribosomal RNA", at positions 408 to 795 of the family's 1533-position model. The record is from RNAcentral. Lineage: Bacteria; Bacillati; Cyanobacteriota.